Molecule: long non-coding RNA, 980 nt
Organism: Daucus carota subsp. sativus
Lineage: Eukaryota; Viridiplantae; Streptophyta; Magnoliopsida; Apiales; Apiaceae
Exons: 4
Source: RefSeq, a predicted model, not a curated record
CCCACGUGUUGGUCAUCCCUCUCCCGUAUUUUUCCUCACCUCAAAUUGUGUAUCGCACUUGAAAAUCUUCAUUCAAAAUCAGGGCUUAGGUUUUGGGGCUUCUCAGCUGUAGUUGUCUGUGCUUUAAUUGAUGGAACCCGGUGAUGGGUCUGAUUUAAAUGCUGGUGAUGGGGUAAAGUUUCCGUCCCUUCUUGCUUCUUCCCGCUUUGAUUGAGCUUCGAUAUGCGCUGCUCAUUCAUCCCUGGACGAGAUGUCGCAUUAAAUCAUAUACCUGGGUUACAGAAGGACAUUGUUGUCCCAUACUACUGUUAUACUGGUGGUGGGAGCUUAGGCCGAUUAAUGUUUGGUUCGGUCCUGCUGGGAAGUUGACACCAUUGCACCAUGAUCCACAUCAUAAUAUACUGGCUCAGGUUCUGCGGCUUUGGAGAUGAAAAAGAAUAGUUUGCAUGCGGAAUAUUUGCCAGCCAAUCCAGAUGCAUCUAUUCUUGAACCUAAUGAGGUAUGUAAUAAUUAAAAGAUGUAAACUGCUUUGCUGUAGUCAUUCACUCAGGAUGAUCCUUUGUCGCUGGCCUAAUGAAAUUUGGAUAAGUUCAAAGUCAAAGAGGCUUACAAGCUUGAUUUUCUCAUUAGGCCGCAGAAAAAAUCACUUCAAAUGCAUACAUCCAUCGUAAAUGCUACAUAUAAAGGAUUUGUAGAAAUUAAGACAGUGAACAAUGACACAGUAGUACAGAGCUUUCACUUGGAAGGCUAUUCAUUUUUCGUUGUUGGGUGUGAUUCCCUAUUUUGGUCUACCACUUCCAUAUGUGACUCAAUGCCAGUAACCUCAUAUUCAUAAUUAAUUCUGAACAUUGUAGGAUGGCUUAUUGAGAGUGGACCCCGAAUAUUAGGAAUUCUUAUAAUAAAUAUGAUGCUAUAUUGAGCUACAUUACACAGGUUGGUUUGCGGAAAAAAUAAUAUUGAUUUGGCUUCUACUCAGAAUG